RNAcentral lists this ribosomal RNA (439 nucleotides) under uncultured bacterium. Its description in RNAcentral is "partial 16S ribosomal RNA". It matches the Rfam family "Bacterial small subunit ribosomal RNA", at positions 339 to 795 of the family's 1533-position model. The record is from RNAcentral.
CUACGGGAUGCUCCAGUGGGGAAUAUUGCACAAUGGAGGAAACUCUGAUGCAGCGACGCCGCGUGAGUGAAGAAGUAUUUCGGUAUGUAAAGCUCUAUCAGCAGGGAAGAUAGUGACGGUACCUGACUAAGAAGCACCGGCUAAAUACGUGCCAGCAGCCGCGGUAAUACGUAUGGUGCAAGCGUUAUCCGGAUUUACUGGGUGUAAAGGGAGUGUAGGUGGCAUGGCAAGUCAGAAGUGAAAGCCCAGGGCUCAACCCUGGGACUGCUUUUGAAACUGCCGAGCUAGAGUGCAGGAGAGGUAAGUGGAAUUCCUAGUGUAGCGGUGAAAUGCGUAGAUAUUAGGAGGAACACCAGCGGCGAAGGCGGCUUACUGGACUGUAACUGACACUGAGGCUCGAAAGCGUGGGGAGCAAACAGGAUUAGAUACCCUGGUAGUC